AUUUAUUUGGUACGUGUCAGUUUCAUGUCAAGUUUCAUAACCUUAUUUUCAAAGCAAAAAAAUCAUCAAUUUAUUUACUUAAUGCGACAUCGGAGUUUUUCGAGUUUUCCGAUAAAAACUAUGCAGCAUUUCACGAAAAGCCAGGAUUAUGAAGCGUGCAUUGAAGCUUUAAAUAGUUUACAAACUAAUGCCCAGUAUAUUAAAGCAAAAACAACUACUUCAGGGGAUGAUAAUCAUAAUGGUGAUCAACUUUUUCAAGUGAGGAAAUAUCUGAACAGGGCUGGGUUAUCUUUGGACAAAUUGGAUGAACUAUCGGUAAUCCAUGUUGCCGGAACUAAAGGGAAGGGAACGACAUGUGCGUUCUCUGAAAAAAUUCUAAGGGAGCAUGGAUACAGAACAGGGUUUUUCUCCUCACCUCACUUAAUAGAAGUGCGAGAAAGAAUUCGUAUCAACGGAGUACCUAUAGGCAAAGCAGAUUUUGUAAAGUACUUUUGGAAAAUUUACUCUGCUCUAGACCAGCAAAAGAGUGAUAACCAUGACAUGCCUCUUUAUUUUCGGUUUUUAACCAUAAUGGCUUUUUUUGUCUUUUUGGAGAAAAAAGUCGAUGUGGCUAUUAUUGAAGUGGGGAUUGGAGGAGAGUUUGAUUGCACUAACGUAUUAAGGAAAGUUCCUGUAAUAGGCAUAACGUCUCUAGGGAUUGAUCACGUGAAGUUAUUAGGACCCACUAUAGAAAAAAUAGCGUGGAAUAAAGGGGGGAUUAUGAAAGAAGGCUGUAGAGCUUUUACAGUUCCUCAGCCAGAGACGGCUAUGAAGACUCUCAAAGAACGUAGCAUCGAAAAAAAGUGUCAACUUGAAGUGAUAGAAAAUUCAGAUAUUAAAUUUACGCCAAACACAUCGUCUUGUCCACCCCACAUCUUAAAUCUUAACGUUAGUUUAGCAGUAGCUCUGUGUAGGGCGUGGCUUGCAAUAAAACACAAUAACAACUUAACUCAAUCUAUGUCAAAUGAAAUCACUGAACGAGCUCUUCACAACUGUAGGUGGCCUGGAAGAUUCCAAGUUAAACAUGACAGAACAAUAUCUUAUUACUUAGACGGUGCACAUACUCUUGAAAGUAUUAUCAUAUGUGCUAGCUGGUUUAAAGACAUAACAAAACACUCAAAGAGGAAGAAAGCGUUGAUGUUUAACGUUACUGGGGACAGAAAUGCAGAAAAGUUAUUAAAGCAACUACAGAGUUGUGAAUUUGACACUAUUUUAUUUGUCACGAAUGUUGCAACUCCUAUUAAAGCUCUCAGUAAUUCUGGUGAGUUAGUUGUUUUAAAGCAUUAUCGUGUUACUGCCGGCGAGAGGGUUCUAUCUUUUAGUAUUCCAGACAAUACAUAUUUUAAGUCCAUAGAUGAAUUGCUGCAAAAAUGUAGUUUUCACAAACAGUUGUGGUUAAAAAUAGAAGGGCGGAAAGAAGCGGAGAUUUGUGAAACAUUUCCGACCGUGGAACAAGGAAUUACAUUUCUUUCAAAUAGAGAAGAGUAUGAUCUACUGGUUACUGGGUCGGUCCAAUUAAUAGGAAGUUUAUUAAGCAUAAUUGAUCCUCACUUAAAUGACUAUAGUUGGUGACAAAUAUUAAGUAAGGUGUAAAUAGUUAGCUUUUAUAGAAUGCGCAACGUUUACUUAAGCAUUUCGUUGAAUCUUCAUAUCUUGAUUAAACACACACCUGUACAUGUUAUGUGGAAUAUAUGUAAACAAAGAAUUUAUUUUAUUAAAGUAUGAGUAAGUGUAAUAAUUUUUUUAUUAUCUUUAAAAAAAUAUAGAGAUCACGUCAUCACGGAUAAUAUGGGCGCGAAAAUUCCAUAGGCAAUUAUUUCAGAUAUGAAAACUGGAUUCCAGGGAGUACAAGAAACUACUAGAAACCAAAAUAGUCUGCCAUUUUCGUCUUGGAUAAGAAAAGGACAGAAAAAUCUUUGCCAAUGGGAUAGGUUUUACCCCUGCGAAAAUCGUGUAUUUAAUCCAAAUUGUAACCUCGAUUCUAUUCUACAGAGUACUUAAAUAAAGAGGAUGGCGUUAGCAA
Zophobas morio is the source of this 2062-nucleotide RNA transcript. It is a transcript of the gene named folylpolyglutamate synthase, mitochondrial-like, with no coding region annotated. NCBI's taxonomy places the organism in Eukaryota, Metazoa, Arthropoda, Insecta, Coleoptera, Tenebrionidae. The transcript is spliced from 10 exons. The record is from RefSeq and is a predicted model, not a curated record.